RNAcentral lists this transfer RNA (87 nucleotides) under Selenomonadaceae bacterium. RNAcentral describes it as "tRNA-Leu". It matches the Rfam family "tRNA". Rfam says of the family: Transfer RNA (tRNA) molecules are approximately 80 nucleotides in length. The record is from RNAcentral. Lineage: Bacteria; Bacillati; Bacillota; Negativicutes; Selenomonadales; Selenomonadaceae.
GCGGUCAUGGUGGAAUUGGCAGACACGCUACUUUGAGGGGGUAGUCCUCGUUUGGGGGUGUGAGUUCAAGUCUCACUGACCGCACCA